CUGGACAUCCUGCAGCCACAGCUCACCAAGGACUCGUGGCAGCGCUGUGAAGCCGUGAAGCUGGUGUUUGCCUGGAGUCUUCUGCAGGUGACCCGCCCAGGACUCUCACCUCACCUGUCCCGCCUCCUUCCCCCCUCCCUCCUCUUCAGUGACCACCACAGACUGGAGAACUGCAUGCUGGGAGUUCGCUGUCUGCACCAUAUCGUGCUCAACACG
This is a non-coding RNA of Neolamprologus brichardi, 216 nucleotides long. The record is from RefSeq and is a predicted model, not a curated record. Lineage: Eukaryota; Metazoa; Chordata; Actinopteri; Cichliformes; Cichlidae.